Molecule: ribosomal RNA, 544 nt
Filed under: uncultured bacterium
Lineage: Bacteria
Description: bacterial SSU rRNA
Rfam family: Bacterial small subunit ribosomal RNA
Source: RNAcentral
AAUAGAUACCCGGGUAGUCCACGCCGUAAGCGAUGAGUGCUAAGUGUUAGGGGGUUUCCGCCCCUUAGUGCUGCAGCUAACGCAUUAAGCACUCCGCCUGGGGAGUACGGUCGCAAGACUGAAACUCAAAGGAAUUGACGGGGGCCCGCACAAGCGGUGGAGCAUGUGGUUUAAUUCGAAGCAACGCGAAGAACCUUACCAGGUCUUGACAUCCCAUUGACCACUAUGGAGACAUAGUUUUCCCUUCGGGGACAACGGUGACAGGUGGUGCAUGGUUGUCGUCAGCUUGUGUCGUGAGAUGUUGGGUUAAGUCCCGCAACGAGCGCAACCCUUGUUCUUAGUUGCCAUCAUUUAGUUGGGCACUCUAAGGAGACUGCCGGUGACAAACCGGAGGAAGGUGGGGAUGACGUCAAAUCAUCAUGCCCCUUAUGACCUGGGCUACACACGUGCUACAAUGGACGGUACAAACGGUUGCCAACCCGCGAGGGGAGCUAAUCCGAUAAAACCGUUCUCAGUUCGGAUUGUAGGCUGCAACUCGCCUACA